UGCGGUAUCCUGACCGUACUAAGGUAGCGUGAUAAGUUGCCCUUUAAUUGGGGGCUUGAAUGAACGGACACACGAGAGUUUAGCUGUCUCUUUUAUAAAUAUGGAAAUUAAUCUUUAGGUGAAAAAACCUAAAUAGACUCAAAGGACAAAAAGACCCCAUAGAGCUUUGUUUUCAUUUAUUUCUUUAAAAUCCUAUAUAUAGAAUUUAUUUUAAAUAAUAAAAAAACUUAACUGGGGCGGUUGAAGAAAAAAAAAACUUCUUUUAAAGCAUAAAAACAAAUAACGGUUUAACAAACCUUUUUUCUAAAAUUGAUCCUAAACACCAAUACUAAUAUAAACCUAUAUAUUUCUAUCUAGCUAAACAUAUUAUAUUUAUUUUUUGACCAAAGGAAAAGCUACCUUGGGGAUAACAGAUUUAUCCUUCUUAAGAGUCCAUAUUGACAGAAGGGUUUGGCACCUCGAUGUUGGCUUAGGAA
This 476-nucleotide ribosomal RNA is filed under the name Amphisamytha wocanensis. Its description in RNAcentral is "partial 16S ribosomal RNA". It matches the Rfam family "Bacterial large subunit ribosomal RNA", at positions 1932 to 2543 of the family's 2925-position model. Lineage: Eukaryota; Metazoa; Annelida; Polychaeta; Terebellida; Ampharetidae. The record is from RNAcentral.